AUUGAACGCUGGCGGCAUGCCUUACACAUGCAAGUCGAACGAGUGGCGGACGGGUGAGUAAUGUAUCGGAACGUGCCCAGUGGAGGGGGAUAACUACUCGAAACUGUGGCUAAUACCGCAUACUAUUGGAUCGGCCGAUAUCGGAUUAGCUGGUUGGGGGGGUAAAGGCUCACCAAGGCGACGAUCCGUAGCUGGUUUGAGAGGACGACCAGCCACACUGGAACUGAGACACGGCCCAGACUCCUACGGGAGGCAGCAGUGGGGAAUAUUGGGCAAUGGGCGAAAGCCUGAUCCAGCCAUGCCGCGUGUAUGAAGAAGGCCUUCGGGUUGUAAAGUACUUUCAGUCGGGAGGCGUUACCCACAGAAGAAGCACCGGCUAACUCCGUGCCAGCAGCCGCGGUAAUUC
Molecule: ribosomal RNA, 406 nt
Filed under: uncultured bacterium
Lineage: Bacteria
Description: partial 16S ribosomal RNA
Rfam family: Bacterial small subunit ribosomal RNA
Source: RNAcentral